RNAcentral lists this ribosomal RNA (261 nucleotides) under uncultured eukaryote. RNAcentral's name for it is "partial small subunit ribosomal RNA". The record is from RNAcentral.
GGUCAUGAUUGUGGCGGUAGAGCGGUAUGACGUCCAGAUCCUGGCAUUCCCAGUAGUUGCGGAUCAGGCACAUCAUGCCAUUGUCGGCCUUGUCCGACCGCGCCAGCGGGGUUGUGUCGCCGACCCACCACGAGUCGGCGCGCGGGCCGUGAACAUGCAACGGCUUGAGUCGCCCCGGGAACCGCGCCCGGCGCAUGUUCGUGCCGUCAGGGCGGACUAUCGCGUUGAAGCCGACCUUGUCGGUGUAGUUGUGCCACCGGU